This 700-nucleotide ribosomal RNA is filed under the name uncultured bacterium. Its description in RNAcentral is "bacterial SSU rRNA". It matches the Rfam family "Bacterial small subunit ribosomal RNA", at positions 8 to 721 of the family's 1533-position model. The record is from RNAcentral.
AGAGUUUGAUCCUGGCUCAGGAUGAACGCUGGCGGCGCGCCUAACACAUGCAAGUCGAACGAACAACCAGAUUCUUCGGAAGCUGGUGGGUUAGUGGCGCACGGGUGAGUAACACGUUGGUGACCUGCCCUGGAGAAGGGGAUAACUUCUCGAAAGAGAGGCUAAUACCGUAUGUGCUCAGUCAUUCAUUUGAUUGAGUAAAGCUCCGGCGCUCCAGGAGGGGCCUGCGUCCGAUCAGUUAGUUGGUGGGGUAACGGCCUACCAAGACGAUGAUCGGUAGCUGGUCUGAGAGGACGAUCAGCCACACUGGCACUGACACACGGGCCAGACUUCUACGGAAGGCAGCAGUGAGGAAUAUUGCGCAAUGGGCGAAAGCCUGACGCAGCAACGCCGCGUGGAGGAUGAAGGCCUUCGGGUUGUAAACUCCUUUUCUGAGGGAAGAGACAAAGGACGGUACCUUAGGAAUAAGUCUCGGCUAACUACGUGCCAGCAGCCGCGGUAAAACGUAGGAGGCAAGCGUUAUCCGGAUUUACUGGGCGUAAAGCGCACGCAGGCGGUUAUGUAAGUCGGACGUGAAAGCUCCCGGCUCAACUGGGAGAGGUCGUUCGAUACUGCGUAACUUGAGGUUAGGAGAGGGGAGUGGAAUUCCCGGUGUAGUGGUGGAAUGCGUAGAUAUCGGGAGGAACUCCAGUGGCGAAGG